AUUUAUGAUAAUCUUUAGUUAUUUUGUAUGACGCAAUUAGAUAAAAGACACGAGUUAACAUAAUCAAAUAUAGUGGGAUAAAAUGAAACAAAUAGCCGUUUAAAAUCAUUAUUAAUCCAUAAAGUAAUUGGUCAAAGUAUCGAUAGCUUCUGAAUACAUGAUAAUCUCAACACCCGGAUAGUUUGGACUUAAACUGGUAUUUUUUGUGCAGUGUAGUAAAGGCUUUACUAAACUACUAUACGAGAUGUUUAACAUGAAGAUAUUUUUGUUGGCAGUUUUGGUAGUGGCUUUGUUUGCUGCCGAAACCUUUGCAUGCAUCGCAGUCGGCAGCACCUGUGGAGUUUCGGAUACUUGUUGCAAUGGUCAAUGUAUACCAGGUCCUAUGAUGGGUCUAGUGGGAACGUGUAUAUAAUAAGUUACGUUAAAUUAACCUCGAAUUAACUUUCGACUCAGUUCAUACAUAUUAUACAUAUAUUAUGUUUUUUUAAAUUUAGAAACAAACAAUUGCGACUAUUUUUUGUAGAAUGCCUGGUUUUAUUUGUAAAUAUAUGUAAACUUUACCUAACGAAAUUUUAAAAUAUAUAAAUUUAUAUACAAAUAUUAUUUUCAAACUUAUAAAUUUUUUUAUUCAAAUUGAAGGUUUCGGAUAUCCAAAUUUAUAUAAACGUUAUAAAAAAUUUUUUUUUACCUGUAAUAAUAGCAAAAAUAAAAAAAAAAAGAAAACGCAACUUAAUUACAUUACAUUUUUAAUUUAAUUCAAAUGCUCUGCUAGAUGUCGUUUAUAGAUUUUGUCUCUACUAAUAAAAACAGUAUAUAUAUGUAUCUAUUUGUCGAGAAAAAUCGCGGGUUCGUUAUGAGUUGAGACCGUUAGAUUUUUAACAUAAUUAUUAUUAAUUAAUAAUAACCCAUAAUACUGAACACAAAAUUCGUUAAUUUUUAAAUAAUAUAUAGAAAUUCAUUUAAUUAUCUCCCAUUUAAAUAAAAUAUUUUGAAAACAAAAAAAUAUGCGAACGCUAAGCAAAUAAAGUUUUUUUUUCUGUCUAUAUAUAAGUUGCAUAUCUAAAAUAUGUGAUGUUUCACAUGGAUAACUCGAAAAAAUAUAAUAAUUAUUUUGUUUUACCCAACCGACAAUAAUUUUUGUAGAUAAGAGUAAUUGUCGCUUCGCCUGUACUCGAAUUUUAGCACUUUUAAGUGUUUUCGACGAAUUGAUAAGAGGAAAAUUAAUUUAAGUAAAUUUUGGAACCACGUACGUCACAGCAAGCAAUUAAAUUACAAGUACGGGUUUCCAUCAUCACAUCGAGUGGGGUCACUAGUAUAAAUAGACAUUUUAAAUGUUGAUUGUCUACAAAGACAUUGGUAAAAGUAUCGAUAGCGUAAAAAAAAAUUGCGAAAAGGAUUAUGAGUGUUGCAGCGGAGCCUGUUACAAUUACGACUGUAUGCCAACCCAUUACUGUGGACCAACCAUCAAAAAAUAAAUUCCAUUAAUUAUUUCCUCUAUAGUCACUAUGGUCAAAAAAAUAUUCCAAGAUAUUUCGAGUUCUCAAAAAUUAUUUGCAUGAAAUCGAUUAUAUUUAUUAAACUAUAAAUGUUAUAAAAAUUAUGAAAUAAAUUUUCGGUUUCUUUAAAAAA
Molecule: long non-coding RNA, 1629 nt
Organism: Microplitis mediator
Lineage: Eukaryota; Metazoa; Arthropoda; Insecta; Hymenoptera; Braconidae
Exons: 4
Source: RefSeq, a predicted model, not a curated record